GACGAACGCUGGCGGCGUGCCUAAUACAUGCAAGUCGAACGAGUGGCGGACUGGUGAUUAACACGUGGGAACCUACCCAUCAGAGGAGGAUAACACUUGGAAACAGGUGCUCAUACCGCAUACAGAUAGAUGGACCCGCGGUGCAUUAGCUAGUCGGUGAGGUAACGGCUCACCAAGGCGACGAUCCCUAACUGGUCUGAGAGGAUGACCAGCCACACUGGAACUGAGACACGGUCCAGACUCCUACGGGAGGCAGCAGUGGGGAAUAUUGCACAAUGGGCGCAAGCCUGAUCCAGCCAUGCCGCGUGUAUGAAGAAGGCCUUCGGGUUGUAAAGUACUUUCAGCGGGGAGGCGUUACCAGCAGAAGAAGCACCGGCUAACUCCGUGCCAGCAGCCGCGGUAAUUC
RNAcentral lists this ribosomal RNA (406 nucleotides) under uncultured bacterium. RNAcentral describes it as "partial 16S ribosomal RNA". It matches the Rfam family "Bacterial small subunit ribosomal RNA", at positions 28 to 526 of the family's 1533-position model. The record is from RNAcentral.